This 253-nucleotide ribosomal RNA is filed under the name uncultured bacterium. Its description in RNAcentral is "partial 16S ribosomal RNA". It matches the Rfam family "Bacterial small subunit ribosomal RNA", at positions 524 to 776 of the family's 1533-position model. The record is from RNAcentral.
UACGUAGGCGGCGAGCGUUAUCCGGAUUUACUGGGCGUGCAGAGGAUGUAGGCGGUUUGGCAAGUCGGUUGUAAAAUCUCCCGGCCUAACUGGGAGGGAUCGACCGAUACUGCCAGGCUAGAGGGCAGCAGAGGGAGGUGGAAUUCCCGGUGUAGUGGUGAAAUGCGUAGAUAUCGGGAGGAACACCAGUGGCGAAGGCGGCCUCCUGGGCUGUUACUGGCGCUGAGGUCCGAAGGCGUGGGGAGCAAACAGG